GGGGCAGUAGCUCAGAUGGGAGAGCGCGUCGUUCGCAAUGACGAGGUCAGGGGUUCGAUCCCCCUCUGCUCCACCA
This 76-nucleotide transfer RNA is filed under the name Tabrizicola sp. RNAcentral describes it as "tRNA-Ala". It matches the Rfam family "tRNA". Rfam says of the family: Transfer RNA (tRNA) molecules are approximately 80 nucleotides in length. Their secondary structure includes four short double-helical elements and three loops (D, anti-codon, and T loops). The record is from RNAcentral. Lineage: Bacteria; Pseudomonadati; Pseudomonadota; Alphaproteobacteria; Rhodobacterales; Paracoccaceae.